This 52-nucleotide ribosomal RNA is filed under the name Helicostomella subulata. RNAcentral describes it as "partial large subunit ribosomal RNA". The record is from RNAcentral. Lineage: Eukaryota; Ciliophora; Spirotrichea; Tintinnida; Metacylididae.
AGCAUCUGAAAUGAAGUAGGACCACCCGCUGAACUUAAGAUUAACCAGUAAA